This 255-nucleotide ribosomal RNA is filed under the name uncultured marine alveolate. Its description in RNAcentral is "partial 18S ribosomal RNA". It matches the Rfam family "Eukaryotic small subunit ribosomal RNA", at positions 618 to 877 of the family's 1831-position model. The record is from RNAcentral.
GUUAAAAAGCUCGUAGUUGGAUUUCUGUUGAAGCCGGUCGGUCCGCUCUAUGAGCGUGUAUCUGAUGCGGCUUUAGCAUCCUUGUGGGGAACGUAACUGUGCUUGAUUGCAUGGUGCGGGAUUCACAACUUUUACUUUGAGGAAAUUAGAGUGUUCACGGCAGGCAAGCGCCUUGAAUAUGUUAGCAUGGAAUAAUAUUAUAGGACUUUUGUUCUAUUUUGUUGGCUUCUAGGACGAAAGUAAUGAUUAAUAGGG